This is a long non-coding RNA of Adelges cooleyi (spruce gall adelgid), 1199 nucleotides long. RefSeq lists it as uncharacterized. NCBI's taxonomy places the organism in Eukaryota, Metazoa, Arthropoda, Insecta, Hemiptera, Adelgidae. The transcript has 3 exons. The record is from RefSeq and is a predicted model, not a curated record.
ACUGUAUACUAUACUUAGGCGACUUUUGGCCGGCAAAGGCGACGGCCACGACGAGCCGGCGGGGCCAAGUGAGGCAGCUCGGUUGCGACUGUUGUUAAACGUAUUUUCUUAUAUGUGACGACCAAUCUUCGACCGGAUUCCUUCGGUAUUAUGUUUGUCGUUUUUUCGGUACACGUUUACUUGGGCUCGCGCCUCAGGUAUUUUGUAAUAUUUGCGUUUCCCCUGUACGCAGCACCCCGGCGCUGAGGGGCUACCGCCGCGUUCACCCUCCCCCUGCCAGCGCGGCGGUGGUGUCCGCCAAUGCCAGCACGUGGCGCGUGUCGCGUCCGCGGAAAGGGUGGAGCGAACCGGGAAGGGAUGAACACCGGACGCGGCUUGGCCACUCGGCCCGUGUAUAUAAAAACCGCAAUCCGUCCACGGUGUACCGUCACAUUGCCAAAAACCGAGCGACGCUCUCCGAAUUCGGAACAGCCGUUGACCCCCCAGAAAAUAGCCGUCGCCUUUUGGACCCAGCCGAACCGUCGCCACGCGGACCGCAAGUGUCCAAAGACCGCAGCAGCAGCAACCGUCUUCACCGGCGUUCACGUCUUCACAGCCCAAUCUCAGUUUCGCGUUAGUUCGGGUUCAACCAUGAUGUCGUCCGGGUGCACGUCCAAAUCGACCGACUACUACUAUCAGAUGAGACAGAAGAACAACGAGGCCGCCCGCAACAGCCGGUUCAAGAAGAAGGUGGCCGAGAUCGAGAUUUCGGCCCAAAAACGCAAGCUGGAAGUCACCUAUGUGCAGCUGAAAAAAGAGAUCAAACGCAUACAAGUGGUGAAGGCUUCGUAACCGGAGUGUAACCGGUUAGGGCAUAAAUCCCGAGAUCCAGUCGCCGAUCAAAUUUAUUUCGUUAUAAUAUGACUGCACAUUGGAGAAAAUGGUUCUGUCGAAUUUCUAGUCAAACUCUACGACACACACACACACACACACUUACACACUUACAAAAAAACGUUAAACGUUUUCAGACAAUUAAAUAAAAUAUUCAGAGCAUACCUAUUAUUAUAAUACAUUAUUAUAUUUUACACGUUAAUACUUAUCUGUAUACUUACUCGCCUUCAUUAAUUAUUUUUUUUAACGUGCAGUUUUUUAAUAUUUAUUAUUAUUAUUAUUAUUAUUCCUAUUAUUAUAUUAUAUUAUUAUUAUUAUUAUUAUAUUGU